CUAUAUCAGUCUAAGUGUCGAUAUGGAUUGACCUAUACCAAACGUCAAGAGCAGUCAAAGGUCAAGUAGGGUUGACUCUAACCAAAGAUUGGGAUGAGAUGACCAAGGUUGAAGGUCAAGAGGGGUCGGCUAGGGUCGAUGAUGCAAAAAGGUUAGCUCGAGUCGAAUGACGAGAGCGUGUCAAAGGUCAAGAUGGGUCGGACCGAGACGACAAUUGAGACGAGUCAGCCUGGGUCAAGACGAGUCAGUCCGGC
Molecule: long non-coding RNA, 254 nt
Filed under: Vigna radiata
Lineage: Eukaryota; Viridiplantae; Streptophyta; Magnoliopsida; Fabales; Fabaceae
Description: long non-coding RNA (VRAD_LNC000975)
Source: RNAcentral